This 436-nucleotide ribosomal RNA is filed under the name uncultured bacterium. RNAcentral describes it as "bacterial SSU rRNA". It matches the Rfam family "Bacterial small subunit ribosomal RNA", at positions 959 to 1394 of the family's 1533-position model. The record is from RNAcentral.
ACGCGAAAACCUUACCUGGUCUUGACAUGGUAGGAGUCCUGCAGAGAUGCGGGAGUGCCUUCGGGAGCCUACACACAGGUGCUGCAUGGCUGUCGUCAGCUCGUGUCGUGAGAUGUUGGGUUAAGUCCCGCAACGAGCGCAACCCUUGUCCUUAGUUGCCAGCACGUUAUGGUGGGAACUCUAAGGAGACCGCCGGUGACAAACCGGAGGAAGGUGGGGGCGACGUCAAGUCAUCAUGGCCCUUAUGACCAGGGCUACACACGUGCUACAAUGGUCGGUACAAAGGGUUGCCAAACCGCGAGGUGGAGCCAAUCCCAUAAAACCGAUCGUAGUCCGGAUUGGAGUCUGCAACUCGACUCCAUGAAGUCGGAAUCGCUGGUAAUCGUAGAUCAGCAUUGCUACGGUGAAUACGUUCCCGGGUCUUGUACACACCGAA